Molecule: long non-coding RNA, 832 nt
Organism: Microtus oregoni (creeping vole)
Lineage: Eukaryota; Metazoa; Chordata; Mammalia; Rodentia; Cricetidae
Exons: 3
Source: RefSeq, a predicted model, not a curated record
UGCCCGGGUCCACUGUCUAGGUGCACAGAAGUUGAGGGGCGAGGUCCUCCACUCUCCAGCAAACUGGAACCGAUUGCUGCCGGUUCCCCGGAGAGUCCUGGCUUGUGCGUGUCAGGACGCCUCUCGGCGACAGCUUAUAAAGGGUUAUGGAGACCAGCGUGAAGUUAAAGUUUACUCUUAUCCUGGAGUUUUCAGGGGCCAGUGAGAAGCACCUGCCAAAAAGCAUGUUGACCAGAGUUGAUUCCCGGAACCCACACAGUAGAAGAACCAACUCCAACACGCUGUCCUCUGACCUCCACACGUGUAGGGAACCACGUGCGUUGACACACGUGCCCAAUAAAUACAUGAAGAAAAAGAAGGGGAAAAGAACAGCAAGCCUGGCUUGGUUCUGUUAAGACCAAAAGCAGGAGGAGGCGCUUGCAUUCCUUCCCCCUCUGCUUUCUGGUAAGGAUGGUGUUGAUUGGGGAGCGGGGGAUCAAGAGCCUCUUUUUAGAAGGCUCAAACAGUUUAGGCGUUUGUCAUGAAAGCCUGGUGACCUGAGUGUGAUCCCUGGAAAGAGAACAAAGUUGUCCUCUGCCCACCACACGUGUGGCACCCAAGCCCCUGUCCACACUCUCAUCAGUUUGGUUUUGCUUUUUUCAAAAUUAAAAUGUAAGGAUCCAUCCUUCCGUAAUAAGACGCAUGUGGUUGGUUUUUAAGAUUUCCAGUUUUUGCUGGGCAGUGGUGACAACUAAGGAAACAGAGGCGGGUGGCUCUCUAUGAGUUCAAGGCCAGCCUGGCCUACAGAGUGAGUUCCAGGACAGGCUCCAAAGCUACAGAGAAACCCUCUUGA